UACGUAGGGGGCUAGCGUUGUCCGGAAUCAUUGGGCGUAAAGGGCGUGUAGGCGGUUUGUUAAGUCAUGUGUGAAAUCCCUCGGCUCAACCGGGGAAGGACGCAUGAAACUGGCAAGCUAGAGUGCCAAAGAGGGGGGUGGAAUUCCCGGUGUAGCGGUGAAAUGCGCAGAUAUCAGGAAGAACACCAAUGGCGAAGGCAGCUCUCUGGGACGGUACUGACGCUGAGACGCGAAAGCGUGGGGAGCGAACAGG
This 253-nucleotide ribosomal RNA is filed under the name uncultured bacterium. RNAcentral's name for it is "partial 16S ribosomal RNA". It matches the Rfam family "Bacterial small subunit ribosomal RNA", at positions 524 to 776 of the family's 1533-position model. The record is from RNAcentral.